RNAcentral lists this unclassified non-coding RNA (2705 nucleotides) under Anthonomus grandis grandis. Its description in RNAcentral is "cUGBP Elav-like family member 2". Lineage: Eukaryota; Metazoa; Arthropoda; Insecta; Coleoptera; Curculionidae. The record is from RNAcentral.
AGUGCAGUGCGAGGCGUCCAGACGAACGGUAUGAUGUGCGUCGCGACGAUGCCGGGAAAAAGGACGCUGAACAGAACGUGGAUGAUGUUCAUGCCACGACGACGGACAACACGGCUUUUUUAUUUUAAAUCGACACACGGCGGCAACCAUCGGGCAUUCUCAUAAAACUGUGUGACAAGACGUCUCUGUAAUUUAAGUUUUCAAUUUUAUAAAAGUGAUUUAUCAGUUUUAAAUUAGUGUGCCAAUUCGGCUUGUUUUUAACAAAUUGAAUGGAAAAAUUACGUCUUAUUGAGGCUUUUAUUUAGACACCAUCAAAUCCUUAAUGCGCAGUAGAUUUAUUGUAGACUCGUUUUAUGUUAUCUAUUGUCAGGUGCGCAUUGUUUAUUGCUAUGAACUUGCCAAUGUCAGUUAAAUCUAUAUUCAAGUGAAUUGUGACUGAUGGAGUUUGGUGAUUGGAAGCUGUGUAUAGAAUAUUAGGUUUAAAUUCCAGCCUGGUAUCUAAACCUGUAAAAGAGUUCCAUAAUAUAGAAAACACACAAAAAAAAAGACAGAGCCGCAGCCUCGGUGCUGGUAAACACUACCAUAUUAUCAGUACGUACUAUGUACACAGCGAGAAAGAUCAACAUUGAAGAUUCGUCAUGCAUCGCUGAUAACAGGUGGCUUAUCUUAUCUGAACGCGCGAACUAAUUUUUAUCAUCGUGUUAACGGUACAAGUGAUAAAAAUAAAAGAUUGAAGACAUUAAUUUCUAGUUUCGUGAAAAGAGGAUAUCGAGCAUGUUGCACUCGUUAGACGCGUUGGCUGGAAAGUUAUCCCCAGGAGGGUCUAGUGUUCAGGGUAGUUCGCAGACUAGUUUAUUGGAUACAAACGCAAAUAGGGUCCAUCCCUACCUGAAACAAACUGGCGCAGGGAGUUCUACAAGUUCGAUCGCAAUGAACAACAAUAACAGCACACAGGCGAACAACAACAAUAACAGCAACAACAACAACAACAACAUUCUCGAGAGCCGCGAACGUAACAUAAAAAUCGAAGAACAGGAACAACCAGAUCCAGAUACGAUAAAAAUGUUCGUUGGCCAAGUGCCGCGGUCGAUGGACGAGAGCGAUUUGAGAAAUAUGUUCGAAGUUUACGGACGGGUACAUUCAAUUAACGUUUUGAGAGACAAAGCGACUGGAGCGAGUAAAGGAUGUUGCUUCGUAACAUAUUUUACUAGGAAAGCUGCCCUCUUAGCUCAAGAUGCCUUACACAAUGUGAAGACUCUAAAUGGGAUGCAUCAUCCAAUCCAAAUGAAGCCAGCGGAUAGUGAGAACAGAAACGAAAGAAAAUUAUUCGUCGGAAUGCUGAGCAAGAAGUUUUGCGAAAAUGACGUGCGUGCGUUGUUUACCGGCAUCGGAACAAUCGAGGAGUGCACAGUGCUCAGAGACACCGCAGGUAACUCACGGGGAUGCGCGUUCAUAACAUUUAGUAACAAACAAGCCGCACUAUUAGCAAUUAAGAACCUCCACCAAUCUCAAACGAUGGAGGGUUGUUCAGCCCCUCUAGUAGUGAAAUUCGCGGACACACAAAAAGAAAAAGAACUGAAAAGACAGCAACAAAUGCAAGCUAACAUGUGGAACGCUUUGACCGCUCCAACACUAGCCACGCCACCUCAACAAUACAGUCCAGUUUUACCAUCCGAGCCCACUUCUUUGCAGUUGCUACAAGCCAUGGGCGGUUCCGCGUUGCUACAACAGCAACUGUUAACGAACUCAGAAAAUUUACUAGCACCAAUUGGUGUUCAAAAUCUAGUGACUCUGGCGGCUAUGUCGCAGCCAGCUACGGCUGCUACGACACCGUUGUGUAUGGCAAAUCUGUUGGGAAAAGGUGCGGGAGUGGAAAGGACACUUACGGCAGCUGGUCUGCCGUCCACGUUGGGUACCACACCCGAUCUAAGUGCAUACGGGUCCUUGAUUACAAAUGCUACUUUGAACGCAGCAGCUAUUGCAGCAGCCGGUAAACAGAUAGAAGGUCCAGAAGGUUGCAACCUAUUUAUCUACCACCUGCCUCCAGAGUUUACUGAUACCGACCUGGCAUCCACGUUCCUACCAUUUGGCCCAGUUAUUUCGGCCAAGGUGUUCAUAGACAAACAUACCAACUUAUCAAAGUGUUUUGGGUUCGUGUCCUUCGACAACGCCAAUUCGGCCCAACAAGCGAUCGCAGCUAUGAACGGGUUCCAGAUUGGUACCAAAAGGCUCAAGGUCCAACUAAAGCGAGCCAAGGAGGCGGCAAAACCGUAUUAACCAAAGAUAUAAGUUACCUCCCAGAGACCAACUUCUGCCCCUAAAAGGGGUCUUGAUGUAGGAAACGUUGAUGAGAUUACACAGCAGGACAUACAGUAGCUUGUGAAGAGCCGCAACCCAUGAAGAAUGGAUUAUUUAUGGCUCUACAAAUAGGGCAUUCGUUCGCUGGAGUCAGGCCGUACCCAGGUGUUCUACGGACCAGUGGCGGUUGUCUUGUAAGGGCACGAUGAGCAAAAGCAUUAAAAAACUUGCGAGGUUUAUUGGGAUCAUGUAUUGGCGCCAUUAUACCUUUAGGUACACGUUGCAAUGGAGAUGGGCUGCUACUGGUAGAUGCCGCAGGAGUAUGCUAAAAAACAAUAAAAUUGUUGUGAUUGACUCGAAAAAUUCUCGAAAUGAUUAAUAAAUAAAUGGAAGCUAUUAUUAAUUUA